Non-coding RNA from Acanthosepion pharaonis, 111 nucleotides. Lineage: Eukaryota; Metazoa; Mollusca; Cephalopoda; Sepiida; Sepiidae. The record is from the annotation of a GenBank genome assembly.
CAACCACAUCAUGUUGAAACACCAGUUCUGGUACGAUCACCUAAGUUAAGCAACGUCGGACCUAGUCAGUACCUAGAUGGAUGUCCGUUUGGGAAUAUCAGGAGCUGUAAG